GAUGAACGCUGGCGGCGUGCCUAAUACAUGCAAGUCGAGCGAACAGACGAGGAGCUUGCUCCUCUGACGUUAGCGGCGGACGGGUGAGUAACAUGUGGAUAACCUACCUAUAAGACUGGGAUAACUUCGGGAAACCGGAGCUAAUACCGGAUAAUAUAUUGAACCGCAUGGUUCAAUAGUGAAAGACGGUUUUGCUGUCACUUAUAGAUGGAUCCGCGCCGCAUUAGCUAGUUGGUAAGGUAACGGCUUACCAAGGCGACGAUGCGUAGCCGACCUGAGAGGGUGAUCGGCCACACUGGAACUGAGACACGGUCCAGACUCCUACGGGAGGCAGCAGUAGGGAAUCUUCCGCAAUGGGCGAAAGCUUGACGGAGCAACGCCGCGUGAGUGAUGAAGGUCUUCGGAUCGUAAAACUCUGUUAUUAGGGAAGAACAAAUGUGUAAGUAACUAUGCACGUCUUGACGGUACCUAAUCAGAAAGCCACGGCUAACUACGUG
RNAcentral lists this ribosomal RNA (497 nucleotides) under uncultured bacterium. RNAcentral's name for it is "partial 16S ribosomal RNA". It matches the Rfam family "Bacterial small subunit ribosomal RNA", at positions 28 to 507 of the family's 1533-position model. The record is from RNAcentral.